AUGUUCCACUUGAUAACAAAAAAAUUGUGGAAGCUAAAAAUAUCUCUAAAAGUGAAGAUAUUCCUCUGGUUUUUAAGCGGAUGGAUCAUCUUAACUGGAGAUAACCUGACACAACGUAAAUGGCAAGGUAGUAAGCAUUGUGUCUUUUGUCAACACAAUGAGUCUAUUAAACACUUAUUUUCUGAGUGUAAGUUCGCUCGUGCAGUAUGGGCCAUAGUUUAA
Molecule: ribosomal RNA, 222 nt
Filed under: Triticum aestivum (bread wheat)
Lineage: Eukaryota; Viridiplantae; Streptophyta; Magnoliopsida; Poales; Poaceae
Description: partial small subunit ribosomal RNA
Source: RNAcentral